UAGCUCAGUGGUAAAGAAUCUGCCUGCAAUGCAGAAGACCCAGGUUCAAUCCCUGG
This 56-nucleotide transfer RNA is filed under the name Ovis aries (sheep). It matches the Rfam family "tRNA", at positions 8 to 63 of the family's 71-position model. From Rfam's summary of the family: Transfer RNA (tRNA) molecules are approximately 80 nucleotides in length. Lineage: Eukaryota; Metazoa; Chordata; Mammalia; Artiodactyla; Bovidae. The record is from Rfam by way of RNAcentral.